GAGUUUGAUCCUGGCUCAGGAUGAACGCUGGCGGCGCAUUUAAGACAUGCAAGUCGAACGGAAAUGUAUUUUUUGUUUACAAUAAAUAUAUUUUAGUGGCGGACGGGUGAGUAAUACGGAGAUAAUCUGCCUUUCAGAGAGAAAUAACAAGAGGAAACUCUUGCUAAUGUCUCAUAAGACCACACUGUGGCUUCACAGAGAGGUCAAAGGGGAAACCCGCUGAAAGAUGAGUCUACGGCUGAUUAGUUAGUUGGAGAGGUAAUGGCUCACCAAGACGAUGAUCAGUAGCCGGGCUGAGAGGCUGGCCGGCCACAUUGGGACUGAGACACGGCCCAGACUCCUACGGGAGGCAGCAGUUGGGAAUAUUGGACAAUGGAGGAAACUCUGAUCCAGUGACGCCGCGUGAAGGAAGAAGGUCUUCGGAUUGUAAACUUAUUUUGUCAGGGAAGAAAAAAAUGACUGUACCGGAAUAAAAAGCACCGGCUAACUACGUGCCAGCAGCCGCGGUAAUACGUAGGGUGCAAGCGUUAUCCGGAUUUACUGGGUGUAAAGGGCGAGUAGACGGCGUUGCAAGUCAGAUGUGAAAACCUAGGGCUCAACCGUAGGACUGCAUCUGAAACUGCAAUGCUAGAGUGCAGGAGAGGUAAGCGGAAUUCCUAGUGUAGCGGUGAAAUGCGUAGAUAUAGGAGGAACACCAGUGGCGAAGGCGGCUUACUGGACUGUAACUGACGUUGAGGCGCGAAAGUGUGGGGAGCAAACAGGAUUAGAUACCCUGGUAGUCCACACUGUAAACGAUGGAUACUAGGUGUAGGCAUGCAUGUGUCUGUGCCGGCGCAAACGCAAUAAGUAUCCCACCUGGGGAGUACGGCCGCAAGGUUGAAACUCAAAGGAAUUGACGGGGGCCCGCACAAGCAGUGGAGUAUGUGGUUUAAUUCGACGCAACGCAAAGAACCUUACCAAGACUUGACAUAUACAGGAAAGUCUAAGAAAUUAGACCCCUCUUCGGAGUCUGUAAACAGGUGAUGCAUGGUUGUCGUCAGCUCGUGUCGUGAGAUGUUGGGUUAAGUCCCGCAACGAGCGCAACCCUCGUGAUUAGUUGCCUCUAGGAGGAACUCUAGUCAGACUGCCGUAGUUAAUACGGAGGAAGGUGAGGAUGACGUCAAAUCAUCACGUCCCUUAUGUCUUGGGCUACACACGUACUACAAUGGGCGUUACAAAGAGAAGCGAAACCGCGAGGUGGAGCAAAACUGAAAAAGGCGUCCCUAGUUCGGAUUGUAGGCUGCAACUCGCCUACAUGAAGCUGGAAUUGCUAGUAAUCAUAGGUCAGCAUACUAUGGUGAAUACGUUCCCGGGCCUUGUACACACCGCCCGUC
Molecule: ribosomal RNA, 1373 nt
Filed under: uncultured bacterium
Lineage: Bacteria
Description: bacterial SSU rRNA
Rfam family: Bacterial small subunit ribosomal RNA
Source: RNAcentral